Molecule: unclassified non-coding RNA, 368 nt
Filed under: Hevea brasiliensis (rubber tree)
Lineage: Eukaryota; Viridiplantae; Streptophyta; Magnoliopsida; Malpighiales; Euphorbiaceae
Source: RNAcentral
AAAAAAAAAAAAAAAGUAAAGAUGAUAAAAUAGUAACCUUUACUUUUUGGAAGAGUGAAAGAUAAAGCUAGUGGGUUCCUUCGGGGAAAUUUCAUGGAUUGAAGUGAAAAGGACAUUCGAUUGUUUAUAAUGAGAAAAAAAAAAGAGAACAAGAAGGGAUUUGAUGAAUCUUGGUGGGAACUUUUUUGCCUUCCAUAGGACAGGCAUUGUGAUGAUUGCCUUUUUUAUAAAAUGUUUAUUCGUAUAGAGUGUUUAUAUUAAAUGAAGGUAACUAUAAAAAGAAAUAUUCAAUGCGUAAUCAUGAUUGAGAGAUAAAUGUGUGUAUGUAUAGACAUGUUAUGUAUUCUUGAUUUGGUGCAAGUAUUCGG